This 229-nucleotide ribosomal RNA is filed under the name uncultured bacterium. RNAcentral's name for it is "partial 16S ribosomal RNA". It matches the Rfam family "Bacterial small subunit ribosomal RNA", at positions 568 to 796 of the family's 1533-position model. The record is from RNAcentral.
UGCGUAGGUGGUUAUGUAUGUCGGAUGUGAAAGCCCAUGGCUCAACCAUGGAAUGGCAUUCGAAACUGCAAAACUUGAGUGUAGGAGAGGAGAGCGGAAUUCUUGGUGUAGCGGUGAAAUGCGUUGAUAUCAAGAAGAACACCGGCGGCGAAGGCGGCUCUCUGGAAUACAACUGACACUGAGGCACGAAAGCUAGGGGAGCGAACAGGAUUAGAUACCCUGGUAGUCC